GGGGGCCUCUCCUGGCCCCGGGCCGAGGGCUGACAGCCGCGUCUCGCCCGCAGGGAAGGCGCAGAAGGCCCUGCAGGAGCACUACCGAGUGGGUUCGCUGCUGGGGCGCGGCGGCUUCGGCAGCGUCUUCGCAGCCACGCGGCUCUCGGACGGCGCCCCGAGUGCCAAGAUCUUAUCAGGUGGUGUUUAUCCAUGCUGCAGUUGGACAGACCUUUGUUAGAAGACCUGUUCUGUGAUCCUUGGAUGCAGGAUAUUCAUCUGCCAUAGAAGAAGGGAGAGAGCCACAUGCACACUUUGAUCCAGGGCCCUGGGAAGGAGAAGAAGCCCCUGGAGAAGCUGUAUCAGGUGGGGCUGCUGCUGCUGCUGCUGGAGACAGCAAGGACGACAUCAAGGAUGACAGCCUCUUCCUCAACUUGGCCACUGGCAGCUGAAGAUGAUGGACUUUGAUUCUGGCACCUUCUUCAAAGCCAG
This 471-nucleotide long non-coding RNA is filed under the name Chloebia gouldiae (Gouldian finch). RNAcentral describes it as "Erythrura gouldiae (Gouldian finch) lncRNA (ENSEGOG00005011460.1)". The record is from RNAcentral. Lineage: Eukaryota; Metazoa; Chordata; Aves; Passeriformes; Passeridae.